GUGAGGAAUAUUGGGUAAUGGGCGAAAGCCUGACCCAGCCACGCCGCGUGAGUGAUGAAGGCCUUCGGGUUGUAAAGCUCUGUGGGGAGGGAAGAAAAAGCGCAGGAGUAACUGCCUGUGUGUUGACGGUACCUCCUUAGCAAGCACCGGCUAACUCUGUGCCAGCAGCCGCGGUAAUACAGAGGGUGCAAACGUUGCUCGGAAUUACUGGGCGUAAAGCGCGUGUAGGCUGACAUGCAAGUCGGGUGUGAAAUCCCAGGGCUCAACCUUGGAACUGCACUCGAAACUGCACGUCUUGAGUACUGGAGAGGGAAGCGGAAUUCCGGGUGUAGAGGUGAAAUUCGUAGAUAUCCGGAGGAACACCAGUGGCGAAGGCGGCUUCCUGGACAGUAACUGACGCUGAGACGCGAAAGCGUGGGGAGCAAACAGGAUUAGAAACCCGUGUAGUCC
RNAcentral lists this ribosomal RNA (450 nucleotides) under uncultured bacterium. Its description in RNAcentral is "partial 16S ribosomal RNA". It matches the Rfam family "Bacterial small subunit ribosomal RNA", at positions 354 to 796 of the family's 1533-position model. The record is from RNAcentral.